AUUGAACGCUGGCGGCAUGCUUCACACAUGCAAGUCGAACGGUAACAGGGUGCUUGCACCGCUGACGAGUGGCGAACGGGUGAGUAAUGCGUCGGAACGUGCCGAGUAGUGGGGGAUAACGCAGCGAAAGUUGUGCUAAUACCGCAUACGUACUGAGGUAGAAAGUGGGGGACCUUCGGGCCUCACGCUAUUCGAGCGGCCGACGUCUGAUUAGCUAGUAGGUGAGGUAAAGGCUCACCUAGGCGACGAUCAGUAGCGGGUCUGAGAGGAUGUUCCGCCACACUGGGACUGAGACACGGCCCAGACUCCUACGGGAGGCAGCAGUGGGGAAUUUUGGACAAUGGGCGAAAGCCUGAUCCAGCCAUGCCGCGUGUCUGAAGAAGGCCUUCGGGUUGUAAAGGACUUUUGUCAGGGAGGAAAUCCCUAGUGCUAAUAACACUGGGGGAUGACAGUACCUGAAGAAUAAGCACCGGCUAACUACGUGCCAGCCGCCGCUGUAA
This 500-nucleotide ribosomal RNA is filed under the name uncultured bacterium. RNAcentral describes it as "partial 16S ribosomal RNA". It matches the Rfam family "Bacterial small subunit ribosomal RNA", at positions 30 to 523 of the family's 1533-position model. The record is from RNAcentral.